RNAcentral lists this long non-coding RNA (219 nucleotides) under Mytilus galloprovincialis (Mediterranean mussel). The record is from RNAcentral. Lineage: Eukaryota; Metazoa; Mollusca; Bivalvia; Mytilida; Mytilidae.
AAAGAAUGAAAUAUUUAUUAUAGUAAAAAAAAGUUGUACAAUUACUAAUGUAGCAUUUCUACACUAAAAACUAAAUGAAAUGAAUUCAACAAAUGUAAGUCACCGUACGGCCUUCAACAACGAGAAAGAAAAACCAUACCGAAAACUAACGGCCUGAAUAUAGGUGAAAACUUUUGCACUAUUUAUCCCGACGACAAUGCCUACAAUAGAAAAAACACA